Molecule: transfer RNA, 71 nt
Filed under: Hyosciurus heinrichi (montane long-nosed squirrel)
Lineage: Eukaryota; Metazoa; Chordata; Mammalia; Rodentia; Sciuridae
Description: tRNA-Val
Rfam family: tRNA
About the family: Transfer RNA (tRNA) molecules are approximately 80 nucleotides in length. Their secondary structure includes four short double-helical elements and three loops (D, anti-codon, and T loops).
Source: RNAcentral
CAAGAUGUAGCUUAAUCASUUAAAGCACCYGGCUUACACCCGGAAGACUUCAUACAACCUGAACAUCUUGA